RNAcentral lists this ribosomal RNA (269 nucleotides) under uncultured prokaryote. Its description in RNAcentral is "partial 16S ribosomal RNA". It matches the Rfam family "Bacterial small subunit ribosomal RNA", at positions 524 to 792 of the family's 1533-position model. The record is from RNAcentral.
UACGGAGGAUCCGAGCGUUAUCCGGAUUUAUUGGGUUUAAAGGGUGCGUAGGCGGGAGAUUAAGUCGGUGGUGAAAUUUUGCAGCUCAACUGUAAAAGUGCCAUUGAUACUGGUUUCCUUGAGUGUGGAUGAAGUAGGCGGAAUUUGUGGUGUAGCGGUGAAAUGCAUAGAUAUCACGAGGAACUCCGAUUGCGCAGGCAGCUUACUAAACCAUAACUGACGCUCAGGCACGAAGGCGUGGGGAUCAAACAGGAUUAGAUACCCGGGUA